Molecule: ribosomal RNA, 468 nt
Filed under: uncultured bacterium
Lineage: Bacteria
Description: partial 16S ribosomal RNA
Rfam family: Bacterial small subunit ribosomal RNA
Source: RNAcentral
GACGAACGCUGGCGGCGUGCUUAACACAUGCAAGUCGAACGGAAAGGCCCUGCUUUUGUGGGGUGCUCGAGUGGCGAACGGGUGAGUAACACGUGAGUAACCUGCCAUUGACUUUGGGAUAACUUCAGGCAACUGGGGCUAAUACCGGAUAGGAGCUCCUGCUGCAUGGUGGGGGUUGGAAAGUUUCGGCGGUUGGGGAUGGACUCGCGGCUUAUCAGCUUGGUGGUGGGGUAGUGGCUUACCAAGGCUUUGACGGGUAGCCGGCCUGCGAGGGUGACCGGCCACAUUGGGACUGAGAUACGACCCAGACUCCUACGGGAGGCAGCAGUGGGGAAUAUUGUACAAUGGGCGGAAGCCUGAUGCAGCAACGCCGCGUGCGGGAUGACGGCCAGCGGGUUGUAAUCCGCUUUCGCCUGUGCCGAAGCGUGAGUGACGGUAAUGGGUAAAGAAGCACCGGCUAACUACGUG